Molecule: long non-coding RNA, 1005 nt
Organism: Oreochromis aureus
Lineage: Eukaryota; Metazoa; Chordata; Actinopteri; Cichliformes; Cichlidae
Source: Ensembl
AAGAAUGUCUCAUCCUAGGAGGUCUGUGACAACUCUGUGUAGCAUGAAGAGGGGAGUGCGUUCACUCCUCCUCAGAGUGUUCUGGCAUAGAUCACACGUCUCCUAGGAGAGGUCGUAUCUUCUCUUGGUGAUAUAUGGUAUAACAAACACACGUAUAUCUGUUUGAGUCUAAGAGCCUUUUGUUUAGAUGUACCGUUAGACUCCUGGCACCAGCUUUGGGGAGUCUUCCUGAGGUCCCAGGAAGACCCCCACACACAGAUACACAUAUACACACACACACUCACACGCAUACCAAGGUAUACGUUAUAUGUUAAUGAACCUAUGCAUAUUCAUGUAACCACAAUAAAAGAGCAGUGUUACGGGGGAGCGGACGAGAGCAACUGAGGUCAAGCGAAGGAACGGCGCCUGUCCAGUUCUCUCCCGUGCACGUUAAUUUGUAAAACCUGUCUGAGUGUCAUUUAUUCCAAUCUGAGUUGAAUUACAGGAAAACUCCUUACAACAAAAACCUGCCAAAACAGUUGCAUUAGUAUUCAAAAAAAUUGUUUUGGCAGCAAAUUAUAUCCAUCCGUUAGAAUUGUUUCAACAGAAAGAAAAAUUCCAAUUUUUGGUGAAAAUCUGUGUGUAUGAACUUGUUUUGCAAGUUGUAAAAAAAAAAUCAGGGCACGUCAUCGGUGAGGAAUUACUUUUAGCUAUCUCCAACCGGCUUACUGUGAAAAUCUGGGAUGCAAUAAUGGACGACUUUUAUAAAAUACCCUUAGCCAAAUUCAAAAACUUCAACAAGGUGAUUUUCAAGGCCCUGUGUAAAAGGUGGCCUGCAAAAUAUAUUCUGGAAAAUAUGAGAUUUGAUCCAGGCCUCAACGAAAUUGUUAAAAUUUUCAUAGACCAGGCAGCCAAAAAAUCCAAGGUACGUCGAUUUUUCGCAUUUGUUAGCAGAAUGUUUUGCUGCACCAGGAGACAAAGCCUCAAGGAGGAAUCUAAUGCUAAAUCUGACCCGGAUGAGUCCAC